UCCGUCCACUUGAACAAGUUUUGUAUCUAGUAUAUACAGAAUUGAUCGUUAUCCAUAUGUGAAACUCCAGAUGUUCUAUAUGUAGUUGAGGGAUACUCUUGGAAGGAUACUAAUGGGAUAUUCAUGUAGAAGGUUAACAAGGAUCAUGUGAGGAGUUAUUAUGACGUGUCGCAGAACCAUUGCCUUUGUUUUGUUGUCAAAGAAUCAAUUAAAAGAUCAGGAGGAUGGAAGUGCUUAUCUAGCUGAUAUUCUUUUUUGUACUAUUGAUCAAUUUCUCUAAUGUUAUUCAAUGUCUUUCUGGUUGUGUUAUAUAAUCAUUACCACUGUAUCUUAUAAUGCUCUAUGAACUACUUUCUUGAAUAAACCUUAUAUUAUAUGAAUGCAAGUGUUGUAUAUAUCCAUAUGCAAGCGAGUUAAUUCUAUUUGAGAUAUGAUAUUUGUUAUCAACUUUGAUGUUGUGAAUUAGUAGCUUGGUUGUAUUCCAUCUCCGGCAACGGAAGCACCAUGGCGAAGCUUCUCACGUGGGGCCGGAAGCUAACGAAAGGAGCGAAGUCCCUCUGCGCGAGAAACGGGUCCCUCUGUGCAGAAGUACAAGAAGCAGAAGCACAAAUCAUGGGAGAAGGUUCAAUUUCGUCAGAUGAACAGGUUCGUACUCUUCCCUUCAAUCCCCCACGGCUCUUUUGAAUAGUUAACCUACCCCUAUGCGAAUGACCUUCUACUUGUAGAGGUAUGGGUAUGGGUAUGGGUUUUCAUUUUUUAAUAUUAAGGUUUUCAUCCCAAGCUCUCUAUAAAUACUGCCAUUGUUAUCAUGUUUUUGCUAUUUGUUAUGGCUGGAUCAUUGAAUCCCCUGCGCUCCAUAUGCAUUGGGAGAUAUCCUGCAAGAUAUCAUACUUGGAGAGUCAAGGUUCGCAUUCUUUUCUUCGUAUUUGGUAGAUGUUUCCAGUUGGUGAACCCUCAAAACCAUAUGUUGUGCAUCUUGUGCUUAUUGAUGGAGAAGUUAUAUACCAGUGCUGUUAUUUCUUUUUUGUUAGUCAUCUUAUAGUUUCUACAUGUAUAUAAUAUCAAUUAUCCUUUUUGUACUCAAGGUCCUCUAUUCAAGUUCUCUAUAAAUACUGGCAUGGUUUAUCUGUUUUACCCAUCCUUUUUCUGUGUUUGUUCCUUUGGUAGUAGUAUCUAAGCUCAACACACCCCUCCUUUAUCCUUUUUGAUUUCGUGUGAUUGAUGAACUAUGAACAUCUGAAAAUACGCCCCCCUCAUCCGGCAUACAUGAAAAUAUGCUUGAAAAUUGUUAACCUCGGGUUGGAUGAUAUUUGCAAUAGACGAGAAUAUCUGAAAAUUGUUAACCUCGGGUUGAAUGAUAUUUGUUGGUCGAGAUAUAUGCUUGAAUUUAGAGUUGAUUUGGUUUUUGUUACCUAUGAACAUAAUAUUGGAGGUGGCUUAAUCUUUUAUUUGUAGGCUAUACUGGAGGAGCUAAGAACGGAUUUGGACAGGGCUAGGAAAGGAAAGCCCCCUUCAAAGAGUCCAGAUGGAAAUUUAUGAUCUUCAUUUUUAUUGUUUCAGUUUUAAUGUUUUCUGAUCAAGUGGGUAAUGUUGACUGUUUGCUAAUUUAAGUAGAUUAAAAAUGAAAAUAUUUUACUUAGCGUUGUUUAUAAUCUCAAAUUUUGAAUUUUCUUAUAGAAUGGUUGGCCAUGUAUUUUAGUAUCGAGCUCAAUUUUGAACUAAGAAGCAUAAUUUCUUCCUCGGAUUUUUUUCUCCACUAUGCAUUAUCUUAACAAACAGUUUGCUGAACUGAAGCUUUUCCUGUGAACAUUAAACCCUAAACCCUGAUUAUGUGGAUCCACUUUGCAUUAUCUAACUCACUGUUUCUUAUGUUUUCUUUUAUGUUUUUUCAUUUCCCCCUUCAUUUAGUAUGGUUUUUCUUCUUACUUAUCUCCCAUUAUGUAUGAUUAUUUUCCCUUAUUUAUCUCUCAUGUGUGACUGGUUGGUGAGGUGAUCUGGUAUUGAUUGUGGAGUGUUUGUGGCAUGUGAGGCGCUAGAGCUGCUGGUGUGUUAUGUUUUUGCUAUGGCGGAUGAUCCCUGUCGUGAGCUUUUGAAUGUUGCUGGAUCCUCCUUCAUACUAUAGAGGGUUCAAUGGGAUGGAUCAACAACUGGUGAGCACCAAGCAGAGUUUCAAUUUGGUAAAUUGAACCAGUAGUAAGUAGUAACUCAUUUCUAUGGUCAUCCACCUCCAUUUUUAAGGCCCAAGUUUCCAAGGCAACCAGGAAUGCCAGGUAACAUGACUCAUUCCUUGAUUAUUUCAGCUUUCAUUGUAAGAUUUCUUACUUGGAUUUAUUUUGUUCUUGUGAAUAAAUCGCUCAUAUCUAUUUCACUUUAACACAAAUAUCAUAUGUGAAGAAUUCAAUUCAAUACUGGUUAUGUCACUCUAGGAAUCAUGUUUGCUUCAACCCAAUGGACAAAACUUACUUUUGGUACUGUUAGAUUCUCAAUGCAUGACUAACUUGAAAACGUACUUUGUGCUCUGAUAUGACUGGGAUAAAGAUUUUUUUUAGGGAGAAUCAUACAGAACCUCAGGGUAAAGGAAAUCAAUGACUUUGUGAUUAAUGAGUUAUAUUUGAUAACUUCACCCUCUUUUGAUUAAAACUUCUUAAUAUGUGAAAUUUAGUUAUAGAAUAUGCACAAGCAUUGAUUCUAAUCUAAAAAAAAGUGUUGUAGGAUUGAAGAUGGAAGAAAAUGCAAAGCUUCGAGAAGGAAAUGCAAAUUUGAAGUUCCUGUGUGCCGGGCACGCCUCAGAGGCUGCCGGGCGCUCCUGGUGGUCAAGGAAACUUCACCCUUGGCCCUUUUAUUUUUUGCCUUUCUUACUCAAUGACUUUUUGAUCAGCUUUACCAAGAAGUUUAUAGUAAUACUAAAGUUUCAUAAUCAAAUAUAUUUCAACCUUGCAGAAAGUCUGUUCUAACCUAAUUUAGUUUCGUCUCUAAUACUGCCUUAUAAAAAUAUGAUAUUUCUUUAAGAUGUAUUUAUCUCUCUUUGCAUUGGUUCUCUGUCAUGUUUCUUUUGCAGUUGUUAGAUGAGAGAAGAUCAUCAUUGUCUUAUGGUUUAUUCAUCUACUUAUCGGUAUGGUAUGCUACAUGGUUGCCUCACCAACCACCAUAUUUAAUUAUGUGUGUGUGCACGUGUAUAAGUGGUAGGAACCAUAUAAAAAGGGGAUUCCUGAUACAUAGUAGUCCAUUUAAUUUUGUGGUUCAUUUGGGGUUUUUGAAUUUUAUAUUGUCCAAGUAAAAAUCUUCCCUUGGCCUUAACAUUGCGGGUUGAAAUUUGGCUUCUGGGGUUGGUUCGAUAUGUUGAAAUACUGAAGUGGGUCUUUACGAUGUUAGUGAGUCUCUCAUUUUUUGAUUUUAGUGGGAACUCUUUUUUGUUUUCAAGAGGAAAAUAUUUUAGUGGUAACUCUAUUUAUGAGUCUCUCAUUAUUUGUGUGAUUCUUUCAACAGUUUUUGUUAUGUUAAUGCUUAUCUGACUUUAUGUUCCUUUCUUUACUGAUCUGUGGUAUGCGCAAUUGACUACCUAUGCUAAGGGUUGCUUUUUUUUAUUAGCAGAGGUGAUUGGGUACAAAAGAUAACGAGGGUUACCUGUGAUUUUGGCGAUACAAUGUAGAAAGAGGCAGUGUCUUCUAAAAUCUCACUCCAGAAUUCUUUCCCUAUUCACGUUCCCUGAUGAAAGUCCAAGCCUCUCUUUCAAUCUGAAUAUAUGCAUUUAAGAUGAUAAUAGAGGUAUUGCUUUAGGUGGAGACAGUAUCCUAGAGUUAGUGGAUUAGUUUUAACAUACAAGAAUUGUGAUUCAGUGGCUAAAAACUAGAAGUAUGAGGCGAAAAUGUCAAUGAUAUAUCCAUAUGUGCAUGUGAGCCUCACUUAGAACUCGAGUUCUAUCUCUCAAGAGUUGAGAUUUACGCGAUAUCAAUUCAAAGAGUGGGUUUA
Long non-coding RNA from Lotus japonicus, 3969 nucleotides. RefSeq lists it as uncharacterized. The record is from RefSeq and is a predicted model, not a curated record. NCBI's taxonomy places the organism in Eukaryota, Viridiplantae, Streptophyta, Magnoliopsida, Fabales, Fabaceae. The transcript is spliced from 2 exons.